GACGUAGGGCGCGAGCGUUGUCCGGAUUUAUUGGGCGUAAAGAGCUCGUAGGCGGCUUGUCGCGUCGACUGUGAAAACCCGCGGCUCAACCGCGGGCCUGCAGCCGAUACGGGCAGGCUAGAGUUCGGUAGGGGAGACUGGAAUUCCUGGUGUAGCGGUGAAAUGCGCAGAUAUCGUAAGGAAGACCAGUGGCGAAGGCGAGUCUCUGAACAGUUACCGACGCUGAGGCACGAAGGUCAGGGGAGCAAACGGG
RNAcentral lists this ribosomal RNA (253 nucleotides) under uncultured bacterium. RNAcentral's name for it is "partial 16S ribosomal RNA". It matches the Rfam family "Bacterial small subunit ribosomal RNA", at positions 524 to 776 of the family's 1533-position model. The record is from RNAcentral.